Molecule: transfer RNA, 65 nt
Filed under: Dipodomys ordii (Ord's kangaroo rat)
Lineage: Eukaryota; Metazoa; Chordata; Mammalia; Rodentia; Heteromyidae
Rfam family: tRNA
About the family: Transfer RNA (tRNA) molecules are approximately 80 nucleotides in length. Their secondary structure includes four short double-helical elements and three loops (D, anti-codon, and T loops).
Source: Rfam by way of RNAcentral
GGUGACUCAGUGGUAGAGUGCUUGCUUUGCAUUCAUGAGGCCCUAGGUUCGAUUCCUCAGCACCA